GCCGAAUUGGCGGAAUGGCAGACGCGGAGCACUCAAAAUGCUUUGUCUUCGGACGUGUGGGUUCAAGUCCCACAUUCGGCACAA
RNAcentral lists this transfer RNA (84 nucleotides) under Aurantimicrobium minutum. RNAcentral describes it as "tRNA-Leu". It matches the Rfam family "tRNA". Rfam says of the family: Transfer RNA (tRNA) molecules are approximately 80 nucleotides in length. Their secondary structure includes four short double-helical elements and three loops (D, anti-codon, and T loops). Further hydrogen bonds mediate the characteristic L-shaped molecular structure. tRNAs have two regions of fundamental functional importance: the anti-codon, which is responsible for specific mRNA codon recognition, and the 3' end, to which the tRNAs corresponding amino acid is attached (by aminoacyl-tRNA synthetases). tRNAs cope with the degeneracy of the genetic code in two manners: having more than one tRNA (with a specific anti-codon) for a particular amino acid; and 'wobble' base-pairing, i.e. permitting non-standard base-pairing at the 3rd anti-codon position. The record is from RNAcentral. Lineage: Bacteria; Bacillati; Actinomycetota; Actinomycetes; Micrococcales; Microbacteriaceae.